ACUUAGUGCAACCAAUAGAAUUCAUUCAGUGCUCUGUCAGUUGUGGCAUGUAGCAGUAUUAACUCCUUUUCAGUUCAUAUAAGGUAAUAGAAAAAGGUUUUCCAAAGGAAGCAGCACAGAAAACUAUUCAAAAGGCCCACAACUAGAAAUUUCUUGUGUUGUUUGGUUCUCAGCAACUGUAUUUAUAUUCAGGAAGAGAGAAGUUCAGACUCUAUCAACAGCUCCAACAGGUGUGAUUCCAGAAUGAAGCAACAGCAAGAGGUGUGACCACCCACGAUUGUGCACGAUUGCACAAGGAGACAAGACAUUCUCAGUGGACAGCCAACGCAAAUACAAGGCGAAAGGUCAUCAAAUGUGAAACACUGGGACAAAAUAUCCGGCUAGAUGCUAAUUUCAUUAUUUCCACAAGUUGCUUUUGCUAUUUUACAUUUGAGCAGGAAGUAAAGUUUUGAAAAUUUAAUACCGGCCAGAUUGCACUAGUGAAUCACACUCAUUGCCUCAGGGUUUUCUCCAUUUGCUUGUUUGAAUUGAAGGAGAACUAUAAAUUUAACAUGCUAUUUUUGUUUCAAAUAUUCAAUCAUUCACAAAGUGCUGGAGAAACAAAAGAAAUCUUAAUUGUGUAAAAUGUUUUGGCCAAAAAGAUCAGCAGAAAGGAGAAACAGUCUGAAAAUUUUCCAAUGAAAGGAAGAUUUAUGAUUUAUGCUUAUUUUCUCUGAAAGGCACAAGUAAAAGCAAUGCAUUUUUUGUGGGACCCAAAUAAUUAUUCGUGUUCCUCACUAUCCAGGAAAAGAUGACAAGAAAAUUUAAAGGGCUUUCCCUGGGCUCCACGGUAGCAUAGUGGUUAGCACAACAUUGUUACAGCUCAGGGUGUCAGAGUUGAGAGUCAUCAACAGUUAUCUCACUCAACAGCAAAGGGCACAGGCCUCCACAGUGUGGGCUUCCAGAAUGAACAAUUAAACUUGAGGCCUGACAUGUGAAUCAGCCAGAGGUGCAGUGCUGCAUCUCUGGUCAGUUGUGAGUCUGAGAUGAAGCACUGUAGCUCUGGAGGAUGGACACUGCAGCAAUGGCCUUGAACGAAGAGCGGGACAGCAACACACAGCCUGGAGGGAAUGUCAUCUGCGUUCAUUUCCGAUCUUCCAUUGACCUUCUCCUCAGGGUCCAGUUUUCCCAGGAAUCCCUUCAAUAAUGAUAAGGGGAUUCCUGGAAAUACUGUUCUUGGGGGCAAGGCUUGGCAGCUAUACAAUGAGGAGACCACCAAAACUGCGUUCAUGAAAGCUCCUGGAUUAUUGUGGAAAAAAUGAAUCCUUUAAAUUCUAUUUGUGAGAACAUUCCCCCAAUGUGAAUUCUUAAUGUAAUAAACAUAAAUUAAAACAAAU
Molecule: long non-coding RNA, 1376 nt
Organism: Mobula hypostoma (lesser devil ray)
Lineage: Eukaryota; Metazoa; Chordata; Chondrichthyes; Myliobatiformes; Myliobatidae
Exons: 3
Source: RefSeq, a predicted model, not a curated record